RNAcentral lists this ribosomal RNA (465 nucleotides) under uncultured bacterium. RNAcentral describes it as "partial 16S ribosomal RNA". It matches the Rfam family "Bacterial small subunit ribosomal RNA", at positions 28 to 507 of the family's 1533-position model. The record is from RNAcentral.
GACGAACGCUGGCGGCGUGCUUAACACAUGCAAGUCGAACGGAAAGGCCCCUUUGGUGGUACUCGAGUGGCGAACGGGUGAGUAACACGUGAGUAACCUGCCCUUGACUUCGGGAUAACUUCAGGAAACUGGGGCUAAUACCGGAUAGGAAUCCUUGCUGCAUGGUGGGGGUUGGAAAGCUUCUGCGGUUUUGGAUGGACUCGCUGCUUAUCAGCUUGUUGGUGGGGUAGUGGCUUACCAAGGCUUUGACGGGUAGCCGGCCUGAGAGGGCGACCGGCCAACUUGGGACUGAGAUACGGCCCAGACUCCUACGGGAGGCAGCAGUGGGGAAUAUUGCACAAUGGGCGGAAGCCUGAUGCAGCAACGCCGCGUGCGGGAUGACGGCCUUCGGGUUGUAAACCGCUUUCAGCAGGGGCGAAGCUUGUGGUGACGGUACCUGCAGAAGAAGCACCGGCUAACUACGUG